This 253-nucleotide ribosomal RNA is filed under the name uncultured bacterium. Its description in RNAcentral is "partial 16S ribosomal RNA". It matches the Rfam family "Bacterial small subunit ribosomal RNA", at positions 524 to 776 of the family's 1533-position model. The record is from RNAcentral.
UACGUAGGGGGCAAGCGUUGUCCGGAAUCAUUGGGCGUAAAGCGCGUGUAGGCGGUUCGAUAAGUCUGCUGUGAAAGUCAAAGGCUUAACCUUUGAAUGCCAGUGGAUACUGUCGGACUAGAGUGCGGAAGAGGCAAGUGGAAUUCCUGGUGUAGCGGUGAAAUGCGCAGAUAUCAGGAGGAACACCAACGGCGAAGGCAGCUUGCUGAGACGUUACUGACGCUGAGACGCGAAAGCGUGGGGAGCAAACAGG